CAGUUCGCAAGAGUCGUAGCUCGAAACGAAUGUCCACGGAGCAUCACCUGCCUGUUCACGUUUCAAAUCGAUUUUUCCCAUUUAGCGACACCCCCAAUAAGAAGACAACUCUGGUAUCAUGAAUGGAUGAAGUGUCCAGAGCUGCUGACCCCGGAACAUGACGUGCAGGGGAGCUGAUGACGGACAAAGUGAAGCCGCAAUCCCAGUAUAGAAGAGGAGCAGUGCAUGGUGGGAGAUGUCCAUGUGUUCCCGACGGACCCCUCCUCAGCAGAGGAGAUGACGCGCUAUGGUAAGCAUCUGAUCCAUU
This is a long non-coding RNA of Monopterus albus (swamp eel), 307 nucleotides long. RefSeq lists it as uncharacterized. Lineage: Eukaryota; Metazoa; Chordata; Actinopteri; Synbranchiformes; Synbranchidae. The record is from RefSeq and is a predicted model, not a curated record. The transcript has 3 exons.